Molecule: ribosomal RNA, 468 nt
Filed under: uncultured bacterium
Lineage: Bacteria
Description: partial 16S ribosomal RNA
Rfam family: Bacterial small subunit ribosomal RNA
Source: RNAcentral
GACGAACGCUGGCGGCGUGCUUAACACAUGCAAGUCGAACGGAAAGGCCCUGCUUUUGUUGGGUUCUCGAGUGGCGAACGGGUGAGUAACACGUGAGUAACCUGCCCUUGACUUUGGGAUAACUUCAGGAAACUGGGGCUAAUACCGGAUAGGAUCUCCUGCUGCAUGGUGGGGGUUGGAAAGUUUCGGCGGUUGUGGAUGGACUCGCGGCUUAUCAGCUUGUUGGUGGGGUAGUGGCUUACCAAGGCUUUGACGGGUAGCCGGCCUGAGAGGGUUACCGGCCACAUUGGGACUGAGAUACGGCCCAGAAUCCUACGGGAGGCAGCAGUGGGGAAUAUUGCACAAUGGGCGGAAGCCUGAUGCAGCAACGCCGCGUGCGGGAUGACGGCCUUCGGGUUGUAAACCGCUUUCGACUGUGACGAAGCGUGAGUGACGGUAAUGGGUAAAGAAGCACCGGCUAACUACGUG